Molecule: ribosomal RNA, 398 nt
Filed under: uncultured ammonia-oxidizing bacterium DGGE-AG-NTF-C1
Lineage: Bacteria; Pseudomonadati; Pseudomonadota; Betaproteobacteria; Nitrosomonadales; Nitrosomonadaceae
Description: bacterial SSU rRNA
Rfam family: Bacterial small subunit ribosomal RNA
Source: RNAcentral
GAUGUCUGAUUAGCUAGUUGGUGAGGUAAAGGCUUACCAAGGCGWCGAUCAGUAGCUGGUCUGAGAGGACGACCAGCCACACUGGGACUGAGACACGGCCCAGACUCCUACGGGAGGCAGCAGUGGGGAAUUUUGGACAAUGGGGGAAACCCUGAUCCAGCCAUGCCGCGUGAGUGAAGAAGGCCUUCGGGUUGUAAAGCUCUUUCAGCCGGAACGAAACGGUCACGGCUAAUACCUGUGACUACUGACGGUACCGGAAGAAGAAGCACCGGCUAACUACGUGCCAGCAGCCGCGGUAAUACGUAUGGUGCAAGCGUUAAUCGGAAUUACUGGGCGUAAAGCGUGCGCAGGCGGUUUUGUAAGUCAGAUGUGAAAUCCCCGGGCUUAACCUGGGAACU